RNAcentral lists this ribosomal RNA (305 nucleotides) under uncultured bacterium. RNAcentral's name for it is "bacterial SSU rRNA". It matches the Rfam family "Bacterial small subunit ribosomal RNA", at positions 337 to 640 of the family's 1533-position model. The record is from RNAcentral.
UCCUACGGGGGGCAGCAGUGAGGAAUAUUGGUCAAUGGGCGCGAGCCUGAACUAGCCAAGUCGCGUGAGGGAAGACGGUCCUAUGGAUUGUAAACCUCUUUUGUCGGGGAGCAAAAGACGCCACGCGUGGCGUUCCGAGAGUACCCGAAGAAAAAGCAUCGGCUAACUCCGUGCCAGCAGCCGCGGUAAUACGGAGGAUGCGAGCGUUAUCCGGAUUUAUUGGGUUUAAAGGGUGCGCAGGCGGAAGAUCAAGUCAGCGGUAAAAUUGAGAGGCUCAACCUCUUCUAGCCGUUGAAACUGGUUUU